Molecule: ribosomal RNA, 505 nt
Filed under: uncultured bacterium
Lineage: Bacteria
Description: partial 16S ribosomal RNA
Rfam family: Bacterial small subunit ribosomal RNA
Source: RNAcentral
GACGAACGCUGGCGGCGUGCCUAAUACAUGCAAGUAGAACGCACAGUUUAUACCGUAGCUUGCUACACCAUAGACUGUGAGUUGCGAACGGGUGAGUAACGCGUAGGUAACCUGCCUGGUAGCGGGGGAUAACUAUUGGAAACGAUAGCUAAUACCGCAUAAUAUUGAUUAUUGCAUGAUAAUUGAUUGAAAGAUGCUAUUGCAUCACUACCAGAUGGACCUGCGUUGUAUUAGCUAGUAGGUGAGGUAACGGCUCACCUAAGCGACGAUGCAUAGCCGACCUGAGAGGGUGGUCGGCCACACUGGGACUGAGACACGGCCCAGGCUCCUACGGGGGGCAGCAGGAGGGGAUCUUCGGCAAUGGACGAAAGUCUGACCGAGCAACGCCGCGUGAGUGAAGAAGGUUUUCGGAUCGUAAAGCUCGGUUGUAAGGGAAGGACGGGUGUGAGAGUGGAAAGUUCACGCUGUGACGGUAUCUUACCAGAAAGGGACGGCUAACUACGUG